UACGAACCGGCCAAACGUUAUUCGGAAUCAUUGGGCUUAAAGAGUGCGUAGGCGGCGCCGUAAGUCGGGUGUGAAAUCCCUCGGCUCAACCGAGGAACUGCGCCCGAUACUGCGGCGCUCGAGGGAGACAGGGGUGAGCGGAACUGAUGGUGGAGCGGUGAAAUGCGUUGAUAUCAUCAGGAACACCGGUGGCGAAAGCGGCUCACUGGGUCUCUGCUGACGCUGAGGCACGAAAGAUAGGGUAGCGAACGGG
RNAcentral lists this ribosomal RNA (253 nucleotides) under uncultured bacterium. RNAcentral describes it as "partial 16S ribosomal RNA". It matches the Rfam family "Bacterial small subunit ribosomal RNA", at positions 524 to 776 of the family's 1533-position model. The record is from RNAcentral.